AGGCUUAAUUAAUUCAUAUACUGAUUAGGUUUUAGCUUUUUUUUUGUAUAGAUAUGGCCUCAAACUUAUCGCUCCGAUCACUAUUGGAUAGUGAGAAGUUGAUGAGAUCCAAUAUUGAUAACUGGUACCAAAAAGUCAAAAUCAUCCUGGAGCACGAGUGAAUUUUGUAUGUGAUUAUAGAUCCGACACCUGAAGCCUGCUCCCAAUGCCUGUGGUAUGAUUCGAGAUACUU
This 232-nucleotide long non-coding RNA is filed under the name Elaeis guineensis (African oil palm). RNAcentral's name for it is "long non-coding RNA (EGUI_LNC061721)". Lineage: Eukaryota; Viridiplantae; Streptophyta; Magnoliopsida; Arecales; Arecaceae. The record is from RNAcentral.